GUGCCAGCAGCCGCGGUAAUACCGGCAGCUCGAGUGAUGUCCAAUAUUAUUGGGCCUAAAGCGUCCGUAGCUGGCCGCGCAAGUCCGUCGGGAAAUCCACCUGCCCAACAGGUGGGCGUCCGGCGGAAACUGGCCGGCUUGGAACCGGAAGGCUCAGAGAGUACGUCUGGGGUAGGAGUGAAAUCCCGUAAUCCCGGACGGACUACCGAUGGCGAAAGCACUCUGAGCAGACGGCUUCGACAGUGAGGGACGAAAGCUCGGGUCUCAAACCGGAUUAGAAACCCCUGUAGUCC
This 293-nucleotide ribosomal RNA is filed under the name uncultured bacterium. RNAcentral's name for it is "partial 16S ribosomal RNA". It matches the Rfam family "Archaeal small subunit ribosomal RNA", at positions 455 to 747 of the family's 1478-position model. The record is from RNAcentral.